GCCAUUGCUCUGUGGGUCCCAAGAUCCGGACUUAGAGGACGCGGGGAGGGCGGGGCGGCGCCCGGCUUCCGGGUAGUGGCAGGUGAGGCCGCGUGGGGCCAGCGGCGGCUCCUUGCUGGUCUGUGGCUCUGGGCCCAAGACCCGAGCCUCCUACAGGGGCGGCCCCCUGCCUGAGGCGCGGGUGGGUUCCGACCUCCGAGAGCCGGUCUGGAAGCACUGAGGGGCCCCUACUUUUGCCCCCGAAGUCAGCGGGGCAACAGCCGCUCCCUUGCAGGAGCCGGGCCGUGGGCGGAGGGCCCCGGUGGGUGAGAUCGGUGACCCCCGAAAACUCCGACCAAAGAGCUGCAGCAAGAAAGGAGUUGGUUCCCACAAACCGCCCAGAGUCAAGGAACUAAAAUCAGUCUGAUGGCAGCUGCACAAGAUGGGAAGGAGUAAUCCUUGAAAUUAGACCAAGGAAGCACGUGAAGUGUGUUUGCUCUCAGCCACCAGCCUCAGAAGAGCUCAAGUCCAGGUAGGGUACAUUUUACCUGAGAUCUACUCUGGGGUGUCUUCCCUUGGUCACAGCCUGCUCCCAGGCACUCCUGGUGAGUUGGGUCUCUUUCCUACAUGUUGUGUAGCAUUAUUGUCCCAUAUUCACAGUGAGCUGUCAGAUUCCCAGGAGCAGAAGCCUGUUUCUGAAGCAUCCAAUCAGUCUAGAAAUAAUAGUCUAGUUAUCUGAUUUUUCACAGCUCUUUGCCUUUUCCUUGCACUGAGGAGUUAGGUAGCUAACUUUAUUCACAUCAAACAGCUAUGGAAGUUAAAGUUAUCUCAGAUUCGGAGCUAUAGACAUUACUUAAGAAGCGCUGUGGUUCUUUAAGUAUAUUCACGUCAUAAGCACUCAGCAAACCAGGUUAUUCAAGAAUCCUCUUAUCUCAGAAAGCUGAUUACAUUAUAUAAAGUAUCAAGGCAUUUAUUUCAAAGAUACUGAGAAAAAUCAGAGCAUUCUUGUCAGGUGUCUGUGGCACUUUGGCACUUGACCCCAACAUUCUUAAACAUCCUCUCAUCAAGAGCAAGAGUGCCCCACACGCUUCUCUGAACCAGGAUGAGCCAGUGACUGCUUUGACCAAUUAAGUAUGAUAGAAAGGUUGCUAUGUGACUUUUCAGGCUGGAUCUGAAAAAGCCAUGCCAGUUUUGCUUUCUUUUCUUUGGAUACUUGCUCUGAGAGAAGUCUGCUGCCACAUAGAGUGUAUCUCCCCUAAGAAAGUCAUGCUGGAAAGGCCUUCUGGUCACAGCCCUGCUCAGCUUCCAGCAACAGCCAGCAUCCACUGCCAGCCAUGUGGACAGGCCAUCUUGGGUGUCCCCAGAUGUGUUGACGACUCAGCUCAGUGGAGCCUUCAGAUUGUUGCAGUCUCCACCAACAUCUGACUGCAACCUCUUGAGAAAUGCCUUGUGACAGCAAAGCAGCCAAGCCCUUCCGUAACUCAUAACCCACAAAAUCAUUUAAAAAGAUCGUUUUUAACAAAUUGGUUUUCGGUUCAUACCACUAAAGUUUUAGGGCAAUUUGUUUUACAGUGCCAUUGGGAAAGAAGUUUCUCCCCUUUGACACACCUCCUCACCAUUCCAGCUGCUCACUUUCACUUCUGAGUGUUUGUGCUGUAGUUGCUUCAGUCCAUAUCUUCUUGGGUUUAUCUUUUCAUACUUUACACAUAUACACACACAGCCACAUAGGCACAGCCACCCACAUAGAAAAUUGAUCACUUGGCUCAGUUCUACUCCCCAGAUGACUUCAUUCAGACCUCAUUUUUCAGCUGGGAAAAAAAAAAAAAAAA
Molecule: long non-coding RNA, 1808 nt
Filed under: Sus scrofa (pig)
Lineage: Eukaryota; Metazoa; Chordata; Mammalia; Artiodactyla; Suidae
Description: lncRNA (ENSSSCG00060048326.1)
Source: RNAcentral